Molecule: long non-coding RNA, 538 nt
Organism: Hevea brasiliensis (rubber tree)
Lineage: Eukaryota; Viridiplantae; Streptophyta; Magnoliopsida; Malpighiales; Euphorbiaceae
Exons: 2
Source: RefSeq, a predicted model, not a curated record
UCUCUCUCUCUCUCUCCUUUAUCAUCAUUUGCUUUUACGGGGAAAGUGGUUGUGGGUUCCUGCAAAUGCUGAGAACGAAAGGAAGUAGCAAAACAUGAAUUUGAUGCCAGGAGGCAACUAUGAGAUCAUGCAAUCCCGGCCAUUCGAUAAGAGGAACUAUUUUCAAGUGAAUGCAUUACAACCCACCAAUCAUUGCCACGUCAAGACAAGAUGUCCCUUCCAUUAGUUUAAUAUGCUUCCAGGACAUCUUUAAUCCUAUUUUUCUGUGGAGAGAGUAUCAGGUAUAUAUUUCAGCUGCUGAAAGCUGCAAUUCUGCCCAAAUUUUCUAGCAGAAAUCAACUUUGUCGCCUGAGCAAUGAGCAAUUCAUUUAUGGUGUCUAUCAUUUGUGUUGUGUCAUAUUUCAAUUAGCUGGGAAGUGAAGUUAAAGGAUGAGAAAAUGAUAGCUUAAUAAUUCAUUAUUUAUAUAUAUACGCAAGUGGACUAGAGUGGCAGACAACUUUGAAUGUGAAAUGAAUUAAUGAAGUAAAUAAUUGAAAA